UAAUACGUAGGGUGCAAGCGUUGUCCGGAUUUAUUGGGCGUAAAGAGCUCGUAGGCGGUCUGUCGCGUCGGAUGUGAAAACUUGGGGCUCAACCCUGAGCUUGCAUUCGAUACGGGCAGACUAGAGGAUGGCAGGGGAGACUGGAACUCCUGGUGUAGCGGUGGAAUGCGCAGAUAUCAGGAAGAACACCGGUGGCGAAGGCGGGUCUCUGGGCCAUUACUGACGCUGAGGAGCGAAAGCGUGGGGAGCAAACAGG
RNAcentral lists this ribosomal RNA (256 nucleotides) under uncultured bacterium. RNAcentral's name for it is "partial 16S ribosomal RNA". It matches the Rfam family "Bacterial small subunit ribosomal RNA", at positions 521 to 776 of the family's 1533-position model. The record is from RNAcentral.